AGCUUCCCAAUUCUUACCAUAGGCUGUGUUCUUUACACUGACUAUAUAGAAAGAGGAGGUAUAGUAAAAUCACCCCAUAUACACCUCAACACAGGCCCUUUGCCUGGUCUGAAAUUGUAAAUUGGGGGACAAAU
This is a small nucleolar RNA of Suncus etruscus (white-toothed pygmy shrew), 134 nucleotides long. RefSeq annotates it as small nucleolar RNA SNORA51. The record is from RefSeq and is a predicted model, not a curated record. The transcript has a single exon. Lineage: Eukaryota; Metazoa; Chordata; Mammalia; Eulipotyphla; Soricidae.